This 1189-nucleotide long non-coding RNA is filed under the name Sus scrofa (pig). RNAcentral describes it as "lncRNA (ENSSSCG00045024500.1)". Lineage: Eukaryota; Metazoa; Chordata; Mammalia; Artiodactyla; Suidae. The record is from RNAcentral.
AUGUUACUAAUAUACAUUACAAAGAUUCUUCUUUUUUUUUUUUUCUCCUCACAUUCGUUCGGAGUACUCUUCAUGAGGAUGGACAGGAGAAGAUCCUGCCUGUGGAUACGGAGGGAAACACUGGAGGGAGAAGUCUAUGCAGUGGAGCUGAGGAAGAUCAGUCACCCACUUCUUGGCAUCCCUUCAGCAUCUAUUCAGGCAGCUCCAUUACCUUCCAUGGAUAGUCUCUUUUUUGGCCCUGGAAAAAGCAGGAAAAAAAAUGGUAUGUCUCCCGCGAUCGUCCCUUCCGCCAGGGCAACCGGAUCAAUAACGCCGGCGCCCGCUCUCCGUCGAUGCCACCUGCGGCCGCGGAGCCGGCCCUGUCACAGCAUCCCUGUGGCAGAGGAAGACCACAGCUGCAUCCCCAGAGGGCUGCGAAAGCCAUCGCCUAAGAACUCUCUGUUGUCUCCCUUGCGUCCUGCAGGCGGUUCCGCCCAGAGACACAGCCUCCUGCAUCCCUAUGGAGAAGAAAGACUGGAGCUGGAAACUCAGGGAUGCUUGCCUUCCUCUGGACACAGGCAGGCGAGCUAAGCUGUGUGGCUGCAGGGGCUGCCCUGGCCCCCAGCUGCUGGAGGAGUCCAGCAGCAUCUGUAAACCCAGACGGAGGCUCUCAGUGUCCCUGGCUCUCUCUGCAUCGGGCCCUCGUGCUGAUGGUGAUGUAGCUUCGCCAGACACUCGGGCAAGAAUCUUUCCCUGGGAUGAGGAUUAACCGUGGCUAUUAGUGCUUGUGCAGGGGGAGCCUCCCCUCCCCUCAGCAGAAGUGCGUGCUUCCUGGGGAUUAGGAGUUAAUGUUUCUGGAACAACAGUGUCGGCUUCUCCAGGUUUGGGGGUCUGUUCCAGGGCUCCCAUGAGCCCCCUGGCUGCGGUUCCACUUGGAUCAGGGUUUGCCAUUAAAUGCAAUGAGGAGCCUGGGCCAUUUAUCACAGUGAAUCCAGUGCCUAAAUCUGGGAGGAAAUGGUCACUGCUCCAAAUCGGAUCUGAGUCUCUCUGCCAGGAACCGAGUCGGGCUCGCUCGGCUGGAUUCUUGGGCUGAGUUGUUAUCCGUUUGUAAAAAUAAAUGCUAUUCAUUUAACUUCUCACUUGGAUCUUAUCCAUGAGGCAAUGAAUUUCACUGGUUUGCGUACUCAUGCACUCACUCACUCAGUGUUUC